Molecule: non-coding RNA, 437 nt
Organism: Pelobates cultripes (western spadefoot toad)
Lineage: Eukaryota; Metazoa; Chordata; Amphibia; Anura; Pelobatidae
Source: the annotation of a GenBank genome assembly
CUCCACCCAGACCCUUCGCACUUAGAACAGCUUACAACAGCCAGAGCACUUCUCAAAAGCCUCUCCUUAGCUGACACAGCCAAAGCCCUCACAUGGACUAAGCAAAAAUACUACGAGAAGGGCAAUAAGGCGGAUUCUAUGCUAGCAAAACGCCUUAAAAAUCUGACGGAAGCAAAACGAAUUUGCAAAAUUCGUACCCCAGAUGGGACAUUGAGCGACACCCCACACACAAUUGGAGAAUCUUUCCGACGAUACUUCACGUCCCUAUAUAACCAUACUACAGACCCACCUAGCGAUGCCAUCCAAACCCAAACGGACACCUUCCUAAGGCAGCUGUCCCUUCCCACCCUCACCGACGAAGCCAGAACCCUAAUCUCAGCCGAUAUCUCCCCGGAAGAACUAGGGGAAGCAAUUAAGACCCUGAAACCAAAUAAAAG